This 62-nucleotide transfer RNA is filed under the name Sinanodonta woodiana. Its description in RNAcentral is "tRNA-Gly". The record is from RNAcentral. Lineage: Eukaryota; Metazoa; Mollusca; Bivalvia; Unionida; Unionidae.
AUGGUGGUAGUAUACUAAAGUACAGCUGCCUUCCAAGCGGAAAGACCUUAAAGGCCAUCAUA